This 420-nucleotide ribosomal RNA is filed under the name uncultured bacterium. Its description in RNAcentral is "bacterial SSU rRNA". It matches the Rfam family "Bacterial small subunit ribosomal RNA", at positions 355 to 774 of the family's 1533-position model. The record is from RNAcentral.
UGAGGAAUCUUGCGCAAUGGAGGAAACUCUGACGCAGCCACGCCGCGUGCAGGAAGACACCCCUCAGGGGCGUAAACUGCUUUUAUACGGGAAGAACACCCUACUCGGUAGGGUCUGACGGUACCGUAUGAAUAAGGACCGGCUAACUCCGUGCCAGCAGCCGCGGUAAUACGGAGGGUCCAAGCGUUGUCCGGAAUCACUGGGUGUAAAGGGUGUGUAGGCGGGCCUGCAAGUCAGAGGUGAAAGCCCCCGGCCUAACCGGGGAAUUGCCUUUGAGACUGCAGGUCUUGAGUCCUGGAGGGGUCACUAGAAUUCGUGGUGUAGCGGUGAAAUGCGUAGAUAUCACGAGGAAUACCAGAGGCGAAGGCGGGUGACUGGACAGGUACUGACGCUGAGGCACGAAAGCGUGGGGAGCAAACA